AAAUAACCUAUAACGUUUCUAUGCUCUUUCCCAAUAGGGCCUGGUGUACAGUGGCUGCAACCAGCAGCCUCCUUGGUGGUGUACACAGCCUGUUGCUCAUAUGGGUUGCUCUAAGGGACCUUGGAAACGUUC
Nycticebus coucang (slow loris) is the source of this 132-nucleotide small nucleolar RNA. RefSeq annotates it as small nucleolar RNA SNORA70. The record is from RefSeq and is a predicted model, not a curated record. NCBI's taxonomy places the organism in Eukaryota, Metazoa, Chordata, Mammalia, Primates, Lorisidae. The transcript has a single exon.